Molecule: ribosomal RNA, 452 nt
Filed under: Pseudomonas sp.
Lineage: Bacteria; Pseudomonadati; Pseudomonadota; Gammaproteobacteria; Pseudomonadales; Pseudomonadaceae
Description: bacterial SSU rRNA
Rfam family: Bacterial small subunit ribosomal RNA
Source: RNAcentral
GUGGAGCUUGCUCCAUGAUUCAGCGGCGGACGGGUGANUAAUGCCUAGGAAUCUGCCUGGUAGUGGGGGAUAACGUUUCGAAAGGAACGCUAAUACCGCAUACGUCCUAAGGGAGAAAGUGGGGGAUCUUCGGACCUCACGCUAUCAGAUGAGCCUAGGUCGGAUUAGCUAGUUGGUGGGGUAAUGGCCCACCAAGGCGACGAUCCGUAACUGGUCUGAGAGGAUGAUCAGUCACACUGGAACUGAGACACGGUCCAGACUCCUACGGGAGGCAGCAGUGGGGAAUAUUGGACAAUGGGCGAAAGCCUGAUCCAGCCAUGCCGCGUGUGUGAAGAAGGUCUUCGGAUUGUAAAGCACUUUAAGUUGGGAGGAAGGGCAGUAAGUUAAUACCUUGCUGUUUUGACGUUACCAACAGAAUAAGCACCGGCUAACUUCGUGCCAGCAGCCCGCGG